UGGUUUAGUCACUGGGAGCUCUGCUGAGUCCGGUGCACUCACCUGGGCCGAAGAAAGGGAUCAGAUCUCUGAAUCCCCUGGAGCUACUGUUGGAGGGUCCUGCUAACAGCUAUGCCCGCCUCCAAAGACCCAAGAUGAAGAUGCUGAUUGGGCCACUAAAUGCUGGCGGACUGAGGACGGGGGCUUUUGCCUGCCUGACAAUAAAUCAUAUUCUCAGUUGAAUAAUACUUUCUAGACUGAAAGCAGAA
Molecule: long non-coding RNA, 248 nt
Organism: Mastomys coucha (southern multimammate mouse)
Lineage: Eukaryota; Metazoa; Chordata; Mammalia; Rodentia; Muridae
Exons: 3
Source: RefSeq, a predicted model, not a curated record